This 6524-nucleotide long non-coding RNA is filed under the name Homo sapiens (human). Its description in RNAcentral is "non-protein coding NCK1-DT:28". Lineage: Eukaryota; Metazoa; Chordata; Mammalia; Primates; Hominidae. The record is from RNAcentral.
AGAGGGUGAGAAGCGCUGGGCCGGACCAGAACUGUCUUAGCUUUUCCCUCUGCGGCUGCUCUGGUUGGUUACUUUGAGCCUGCCUCCUCAGCGCCGCAGGAGAGACUUAACAGCAAAAAUGACUGUGUCCUGAGUUCAGCCCCCACUGCUCUGGGAGCUUCCCCCUGGUUUCUGCACCUGAAGAAUGUCAUCCCAGCCGAAGGUUCUUAGGAGCGGGGAGCGACAAAGAAAAACAAAGAAAAGCAGACCUGAAAAUUGGGACCUGGGAGAAAUAGACGAGUGCUCUAAACCAGUAUCAUGGCUCCAGUUCCUCUGACAAGGAUUCACAUGGGCAGAUCCCGAACCACUCAAAAGGACAAAACAAGGAAAUAGCAAUGAAAUUGGAUUCAGUGAAUGGGGUAAGGGUAUUAAGUGUCUGAAAUAUAAGAGAUAAAAAAAUUAGUUUUUACCUUUUUUUCUAUUUUCUAAAUGUUUUGGUGGCUAGAAUAAGAUAUACUUUGAACUCAAGAGCAAUAAAUGUUAAUAUAUUAAAAGUAGCUUUAUGAAAUAUGGAAAGUAUCUUUAUUUCAAAAUACUUCAAAGUAAUCAUCUGAAUAUUUAUCAGAAAUAUUAAGACAACUUAUUAAAUCCUGUAUUAAAAUGAUUGCUUAUUACUUUUUGUUUAUACUAGUCAGAAGUGAUUCUCUUCCACAUUUUAGAUUUUUCAGAGUAAAAAGGAUAUAAUUUUAGACUUUCAAUUGAAUAUAAACUGGGGUUUUUCCACACGAUUUGUGGACAUGGCUGUCUGAUGGUGACUCUUAGGUAUUUAUGCUAAAAAUGUUAUUUUGGGGAUCCUUGGGAAUGGACUCUGAUAUUUAUUUAUUUAUUUAUUUAUUUAUUUAUUUAUUUAUUUAUUUUGAGGCGGAGUUUCACUCUUGUUGCCCAGGCUGGAGUGCAAUGGCACCUUGCCGGCUCACCGCAACCUCCGCCUCCUGGGUUCAAGCAAUUCUCCUGCCUCAGCCUCCUGAGUAGCUGAGAUUACAGGCAUGCGCCACCACGCCCGGCUAAUUUUUUUAUAUUUUUAGUAGAGACGGGGUUUCUCCAUGUUAGUCAGGCUGGUCUCGAACUCCCGACCUCAGGUGAUUCACCCACCUCGGCCUCCCAAAGUGCUGGGAUUACAGGCAUGAGCCACCAUGUCCGGCUGGACUCUGAUAUUUAUAUUCACAUUAUUGGCCAGUAGGGAACUGAUAUCUGACUCAAAAAUUAGUAGGAUAUGAAAUCCUUCAUUCUAUCCAUGAGCUUGUUAUUCUUGAGAAAAAAAUUUACUUUGAGAGUCUGAGGAAUGAUAAGUUUGUUACAUUCCGGAAUCUAGUUUUGGUGUUGUGUCCAUCCUUUAGAUAGGGUGCAGCUCUGUUUUACCAUAGCAACAACUAACUUUUAUUUCCAUAGCCACUGACUGCACUCCUGACCCUGCCAACCAUCUUGCAAAUACAUCCUCUUGCUUAGAAGAACCAGGGGAGGGGUGGGGCAUGGUGGUUCAUGCCUGCAAUCCCAGCACUUUGGGAGGCUGAAGCGGGCAGAUCACUUUGAGCUCAGGAGUUCAAGACCAGCCUGGGCAAAAUGGCGAAACCGUCCCUUAAAAAAAAAAACAAAAUCGCAUCACUAUACUCCAGCCUGGGAAACAGAGUGAGACCCUAUCUCAAAAGAAAAAAAAAAAAAAAAAAAAGGGCCAGGCACAGUGGCUCACGUCUGUAAUCCCAGCACUUUGGGAGGCUCAGACGGGCAGAUCACCUGAGGUCAGGAGUUCGAGACCAGCCUGACCAACAUGGUGAAACCCCAUUUCUACUAAAAAUAAAAAAUUAGCCAGGCAUGGUGGAAUGCGCCUAUAGUCCCAGCUACCAGGGAGGCUGAGGCAGGAGAAUCACUUGAACCAGGGAGGCAGAGGUUGCAGUGAGCCAAGAUCACGCCACUGCACUUCAGCCUGGAUGACAGAGUGAGACUCUGUCAAAAGAAAAGAAAAGAAAAAAGAGAGGGAGAGAAAGAAGAGAAAGAGACGGAGGGAGGGAGGAAAGAAGGAAGGAAAAGAGAGAAAAAGAGAAGGAAGGGAGAGAGGGAGGGAGGGAGAGAGAGAGGAAGGGAGGGAGGGGAGGAAGAGGAGGAGGAAGAAAGAAAAGAAGGGCAACAACCAGGGGAAGAAUAUGGAUGAAUCAGUCCAAAUUUAUCAUCAUCACUGUGCCUUUCUGGUGACAGGUCAGUGGUGAUAAUGCUCUUUGAGGAUGACUCCCUGCAGUACUAACGGAAGCACAAAAGUGCCAGAACUGGAUGACAGCUCACUUAUUUCAGGCUAGAAAAAAAUCUGGGCACACUAGGGUGAAUGAUAAGCUCCUUGGCAUGCUAGCCAAAAUCAGCUUAAAAGAGGGCUACCUGGGUACAAGAGAACCCUUAUUUUGGGUUGAAAAGCAGAAGCUUCCCAAGAGGGAAGAUACACUGAAGCUGAAGGUGUGGCAGUCCCCCCAACCAAUUAGACUGGGGAUGAAGGCUGCUUAGUUGGACUAGGAAAAGUAAUGGAUACUGGAUUCCAGAGUGGGCAAUGUUGGGAGGAGCAAGGUAGAAUGUGAUUUAAAGGGACUAAGAAAUUUUGGGCUGAGCUAGGCUAUAGGAGAAUGGUAGACAGACCUGAGGAUUUUGCUGGGCUGUGUCAGUCUGGGUUAUAGAAGUGGGUGGAAAUUACAACUAAGGGACUUGGAGAUGAGGGGAGGUAAGAAGACAGAUCUGAUGGUAUUGAGGUAGGGGCUGCUAAGAGAAGCAUCAAACAGGAGGGCUAGCCCAGGUUUGAGCUGGACACUCCACUGACAGUUCUAAAGCAGAAAAUUAGGGAAGGAAUAGUCAGGGGCUUAUCAGCUAUGCAGUAGCUUCUAGAAGUCAACAGCUGGCUCUGGGAGGGAAAAGAUUGAGAAAAACAAAAGAAAUAAAUAAGAGCAGAAGGUAUAGGGGAAAAGGUAGGGGUGAGAGUUAUCAGUCUGGUUAGAGCUGGGCUAAACAUUUAGUCUUACCAUCAGUUUAAAAGCACCUGGACCAGUUAGUUGCUGUACAGGCAAAGUCAAAGGGAGAAGCCUGGCCUCUCUCUACUCAGUCAAGGUUCAUGACUUUAGGAGACUGCAAUGAACCAGGCAUACCAGGAAAGGAAAAGGUUAACUGAGGUUGAAAAAAAAACUUUAUGUGGCACUUUUAAACAAGCAGGUUGGUUUGGCUUGUGUGACUAUGAUGGUGCCUGAUUUUGAGCAGAGCAAUUUGUGUUGUGACAUUUUAAAAUCCAUUCUGGCACUUGGUGAUGAAUGUGUUGGCUGGCAGCUAAGAACUUGCUAGAAUGCAAGUAUGCAAGUCUUCACCAUUUAUAAUCGACACUUCCUUUCCAGGAAAGAGCCUUUCUAAUCUUUGAAUCAGUGGAUUUAUCAAUUUGCAUAAAAUAUGCCAUCCUCAAUGAACACAUUUAUCAUCUACCACUUAACUUUCCUUCUGUUAAAAAAAAAAAAAAAGCAGAAUCACCUUCCUGUGAGUCAGCAGCUUUAAAUUCAGCUGUGCUGGGUGAAGCUGUUAAGGGUAGGAAGGAGCCAUCACUAGAAGGGGGAGAAGCAGGAAUAAAAUGAUCUUUUCUAUUUCCAUGAUUUUUUAUGUUUCUGUUUAAAUGGUUAAAUACCCAAUUAGGUUAGAUGCUAAUUAAAUGUAAAAUUACUGGGCUGUUCCAAUAUGCAUGUUAAAGUUGUACUUCUUGGUUGUUUGUAAUUUACCUAACUCUUGAGAGAUCAUCAGAGCAGCCCAGCUGAGUUUAAAGAAGGCUUCCAACUGCCCAGGAUAUGCAUCAGUUCCUGAACAAAAAAAGAACACCCCAGGAUCAACAGAAGCUACUAUCAAAUCCUUCAAACACUACAUGCACCACAUGCUCACAUUUGUCCUAUUUUUGCUACUAUUUAUCCACAAAAAAGCCAAGCCUGAACUCCUUCUUGAGGCCAAAACUUAAAAAUAUACCAAAUGAAUCAGUUCAAAAUUUUACAAAUUUGGUUUGGCUUAAUCAUAACUGAUUCUUCAUACUAUUGACACCGUUGAUUCUUCACACUAUAGAUACCACUCACUAAAAUUACAACUCAGUCACCUCUUCCCAUAUACCAUAUUUCAUUAAAAUCAAUGUAAGAUAAGAAAUGGUUACCAGAUGCCAUCGUUUCAGACCAAACCAUAUGUCAAAUUUUGAAUAAACCUAACAACAUCUGAUUGGUUAAGUAGCAUACCUAGAUUUAUUAAAAUCACUACACUCCUUUAAUGUCUGUAGGAGAACAUGCAUGCACAAGCACACACACGUUGUGUGUGCAUUUAUAUAUAUAUAUAUAUAUAUAUAUAUAUAUAUAUAUGUAUAUGCUACUGCAAAAUUGAAGAGACUUUACCAAGUUCUGUCAUUGACAGGGACAUUAUAUAUAAAGAAUAUACAUACUGUAAUUCACCUCAUCAAGAGUUAAUUUUAUGGCCGGGCACAGUGGCUCACACCUGUAAUCCUAACACUUCGGGAGGCAGAUCACUUUGAGCUCAGGAGAUUUGAGACCAGCCUGGGCAACGUGGCAAAAACCCAUCUCUACAGAAAAAUACAAAAAUGAGCUGGGCGUGGUGACUCCCGCCUGUAGUCCCAGCUGUAUACAUGGGAGGCUGAGGCUGGAGGAUUGCUUGAGCCAGGUAGCAGAGGUUGCAGUGAGCCAAGAUUGUACCAGUGCACUCCGCCCUGGGUGACAGAGCAAGACCUUGUUUCAAAAAAAAAAAAAAGAGUUAAUUGUACCAGGAACAUGUGGUGUCAAAAUUUAAAAUAUGUGAACUCUUUGACCCAGCAAUGCUAUUUUCAGGGAUAUAUCCUAAGAUCAUCACCAGCAAAGUAUAUAAGGAUGUGCAUGCAAAAAUAUUCAUCAUGGCUUUCUUUAUACAAUGAAAAAUUGGAAAUAAACUUCUCAUUAAUGGGAUGCUGGUUAAAGAAAAUCAUUACUGUAAUAUGCAGCCAUCUAAAAGGGUAAUUUAUAUGUAUAUAUAUUUACAUAAGAAAACCCUCAUGUCAUAUUGCUGAGUAAAAAGAAAGAUGUCAAUGAGUAUUCAUGAUGUGAUUCUAUUUAUCCUUGCAAAUGGUGGAAAUUCAAUUAUAUGGUAUUUUCUCUCUUUUCUGUUUGUUUUUCAUAUAUGUAUAUAUUUCCUUUGAAAUCAGAAAAAAAUCAAGCUAUUUUCAUCAGAGGAAAAAAAUCAUUACUCUGUAUUUCAGUCACACUAAAAUAGUCACCCAAGAAGCCAAUUGUAGCUCUUUUAUUUCUGUGCCUUCUGUUGGAAGGAAAACUGUACAUAAACAGACCACAUUACAGAGAAAAUUUGAAUGGAUGGUGUCUGGUGCCUAAACCAAAACAGAGGUGAAAUAUUAUACAAACUGAAGAGGAUGACUUUAUCAUAGUGUUUGAAAGAAUUCUGUGUGUGUGUGUGUGUGUGUUGUGUGUGUGUAGAUACAUACUAGUAUAUUUUCAUUACUAACCAAAAACAUAAUGUAAGUUCCAAAUGGCAGCAAAGAAUAUAAUUACCUUUGGCUUUUCUUACAUAAGUUACCACCCCAUAAAUCUUUAUGUUAAUUUGGAAAAAUCUGACCUGAACAGAUGGACCUCAUGCUGUUCUCUAAAACAUGAACAGAUUUCUGAUCUUCUGGACCAGGAAAUGAAGUCAGCACUAAAAGAGAAGACACCAUCAUCCAGCUCCUAGAAUUUCAAUCUAAGAAUCUGUAAUAAAAGCAGUAUUUCCCUCUACAGAAAUAUAGCAAAGUAAUAUGUUUACAUCUUAAUGAAAUGUACUCUUGAUAUGAUAAAACACAGUGUGAUAUUUAUAGCACUGGUGGUGCUGGCUGUCUGGUCCCUGAACCUCACCAAUUUUGGAGAAUCCCCUUGCUGUGGUUCUUGGCAGGUAGAGCAUUUGGCUUGAUGCUCCCAAGUUUCUUAUGGAAGGCACAUCUCUGGGGCUGACACUCUGUGUGGAUAAAUCUUCAUCUCAUUAGUCCAAGGGCCUUUUUUCCAUGAGCAUUUUCACAGAAGCUGUUUCACAAAUCAACUCCAUUGGUGUUGAAGACCUAAUAAAGGGCUCUCUAUCAAGUAAUUACAGCACUGAGGUUUGAAUUUCUGCUCCACAACCUUCUAGUUGUUUAAUUUAUGUCGGGAAGAGACUGGUCGAUAAGCAGGCCUGAAUCUGAGGAAGAAUUGGGGCCAAGGAGGUGGCCUGUGAGGUCAGGAGAUUGGUUACAUAAAAGAAGAAUGAGUAAAUAGUUAAAUAUAUCGAGGAUAAUGGAAGCCAGAUUUUUUUACCAAGAGAGAAGGAAGUUACAAAUAGAAUAAGGGUGAAGACUAGAAUGAACCCUGUAGUGUUGGAGUAGAGCUAGAGAUAUUGGAGUAAAUUCAUGAGUUUUAAUAUAAAUGGACAGAAAGAUAUAUAAAUAGAUAUAGGGGUGUGUGUGUGGGUGUGUGUGUGUGAAUUUCCUAGCUCUGUCU